Molecule: ribosomal RNA, 1444 nt
Filed under: metagenome
Description: bacterial SSU rRNA
Rfam family: Bacterial small subunit ribosomal RNA
Source: RNAcentral
AGAGUUUGAUCCUGGCUCAGGAUGAACGCUGGCGGCGUGCUUAACACAUGCAAGUCGAACGAGCCUUCGGGCUAGUGGCGGACGGGUGAGUAACGCGUGAGAAUCUGCCCUCAGGAGGGGGAUAACGGCUGGAAACGGCCGCUAAUACCCCAUAUGCCGCGAGGUGAAAUGAGAAAUCGCCUGAGGAUGAGCUCGCGUCUGAUUAGCUAGUUGGUGGGGUAAGAGCCUACCAAGGCAUCGAUCAGUAGCUGGUCUGAGAGGAUGAUCAGCCACACUGGGACUGAGACACGGCCCAGACUCCUACGGGAGGCAGCAGUGGGGAAUUUUCCGCAAUGGGCGCAAGCCUGACGGAGCAACGCCGCGUGAGGGAUGAAGGCCUCUGGGCUGUAAACCUCUUUUCUCAAGGAAGAAGAACUGACGGUACUUGAGGAAUAAGCCACGGCUAAUUCCGUGCCAGCAGCCGCGGUAAUACGGGAGUGGCAAGCGUUAUCCGGAAUUAUUUGGCGUAAAGCGUCCGCAGGCGGUCUUGAAAGUCUGUUGUUAAAGCGUGGAGCUCAACUCCAUUUCAGCAAUGGAAACUAGAAGACUAGAGUGUGGUAGGGGCAGAGGGAAUACCCGGUGUAGCGGUGAAAUGCGUAGAUAUCGGGAAGAACACCAGUGGCGAAGGCGCUCUGCUGGGCCAUAACUGACGCUCAUGGACGAAAGCCAGGGGAGCGAAAGGGAUUAGAUACCCCUGUAGUCCUGGCCGUAAACGAUGAACACUAGGUGUCGGGGGAAUCGACCCCCUCGGUGUCGUAGCCAACGCGUUAAGUGUUCCGCCUGGGGAGUACGCACGCAAGUGUGAAACUCAAAGGAAUUGACGGGGGCCCGCACAAGCGGUGGAGUAUGUGGUUUAAUUCGAUGCAACGCGAAGAACCUUACCAGGGUUUGACAUCCUGCGAAUCUUUUGGAAACAGAAGAGUGCCUUCGGGAGCGCAGAGACAGGUGGUGCAUGGCUGUCGUCAGCUCGUGUCGUGAGAUGUUGGGUUAAGUCCCGCAACGAGCGCAACCCACGUCUUUAGUUGCCAGCAUUAAGUUGGGCACUCUAGAGAGACCGCCGGUGAUAAACCGGAGGAAGGUGUGGAUGACGUCAAGUCAUCAUGCCCCUUACAUCCUGGGCUACACACGUACUACAAUGCUACGGACAGAGGGCAGCAAACUCGCGAGAGCUAGCAAAUCCCAUAAACCGUGGCUCAGUUCAGAUUGUAGGCUGCAACUCGCCUACGUGAAGGAGGAAUCGCUAGUAAUCGCAGGUCAGCAUACUGCGGUGAAUACGUUCCCGGGCCUUGUACACACCGCCCGUCACACCAUGGAAGUUGGCCAUGCCCGAAGUCGUUACUCCAACCCUUGUGGAGGAGGACGCCGAGGGUGGGGCUGAUGACUGGGGUGAAGUCGUAACAAGGUA